GUACCCGUAGCUCAGCUGGAUAGAGCGUCUGCCUCCGGAGCAGAAGGUCGUGGGUUCGAAUCCCGCCGGGUACGCCA
RNAcentral lists this transfer RNA (77 nucleotides) under Lentisphaerae bacterium ADurb.Bin082. RNAcentral describes it as "tRNA-Arg". It matches the Rfam family "tRNA". Rfam says of the family: Transfer RNA (tRNA) molecules are approximately 80 nucleotides in length. Their secondary structure includes four short double-helical elements and three loops (D, anti-codon, and T loops). The record is from RNAcentral. Lineage: Bacteria; Pseudomonadati; Lentisphaerota. RNAcentral also lists the same sequence under 3 other names.